RNAcentral lists this small RNA (28 nucleotides) under Bombyx mori (domestic silkworm). Its description in RNAcentral is "ovarian small RNA-31232". Lineage: Eukaryota; Metazoa; Arthropoda; Insecta; Lepidoptera; Bombycidae. The record is from RNAcentral.
UGAAUUCCAAGGUGACCUUGGUGUAUGU